RNAcentral lists this ribosomal RNA (467 nucleotides) under uncultured bacterium. RNAcentral's name for it is "partial 16S ribosomal RNA". It matches the Rfam family "Bacterial small subunit ribosomal RNA", at positions 28 to 507 of the family's 1533-position model. The record is from RNAcentral.
GACGAACGCUGGCGGCGUGCUUAACACAUGCAAGUCGAACGGAAAGGCCUCUUUCGGGGGGUACUCGAGUGGCGAACGGGUGAGUAACACGUGAGUAACCUGCCCUUGACUUUGGGAUAACUUCAGGAAACUGGGGCUAAUACCGGAUAGGAGCUCCUGCUGCAUGGUGGGGGUUGGAAAGUUUCGGCGGUUGGGGAUGGACUCGCGGCUUAUCAGCUUGUUGGUGGGGUAGUGGCUUACCAAGGCUUUGACGGGUAGCCGGCCUGAGAGGGUGACCGGCCACAUUGGGACUGAGAUACGGCCCAGACUCCUACGGGAGGCAGCAGUGGGGAAUAUUGCACAAUGGGUGGAAGCCUGAUGCAGCAACGCCGUGUGCGGGAUGACGGCCUUCGCGUUGGAAACCGCUUUCGCUCAUGACGAAGCUUUGUGUGACGGUAGUGGGUAAAGAAGCACCGGCUAACUACGUG